This 253-nucleotide ribosomal RNA is filed under the name uncultured bacterium. RNAcentral describes it as "partial 16S ribosomal RNA". It matches the Rfam family "Bacterial small subunit ribosomal RNA", at positions 524 to 776 of the family's 1533-position model. The record is from RNAcentral.
GACGGAGGGCGCAAGCGUUAAUCGGAUUCAUUGGGCGUAAAGGGCGCGUAGGCGGAAAUGUAAGUCAGAUGUGAAAUCCCGGGGCUCAACUCCGGAACGGCAUUUGAAACUACAUUCCUUGAGGGUAGGCGGAGAAAACGGAAUUCCACGUGUAGCGGUGAAAUGCGUAGAUAUGUGGAAGAACACCAGUGGCGAAGGCGGUUUUCUAGCUUAUUCCUGACGCUGAGGCGCGAAAGCAAGGGGAUCAAACAGG